RNAcentral lists this ribosomal RNA (253 nucleotides) under uncultured bacterium. RNAcentral describes it as "partial 16S ribosomal RNA". It matches the Rfam family "Bacterial small subunit ribosomal RNA", at positions 524 to 776 of the family's 1533-position model. The record is from RNAcentral.
UACGUAGGCAGCAAGCGUUGUUCGGAGUUACUGGGCGUAAAGGGUGCGUAGGCGGCUUUUUAAGUUUGGUGUGAAAUCUCCUGGCUCAACUGGGAGGGUGGUCGCGAGACGGCUGGGCUUGAGGCUCGGUGAGGGGCGUGGAAUUCCGGGUGGAGCGGUGAAAUGCGUAGAGAUCCGGAGGAACACCGACGGCGUAGGCAGCGCCCUAGACGAGACCUGACGCUCAGGCACGAAAGCGCGGGGAGCGAACAGG